CCGUCGCUCCCUCGUUGCGUCCCCUCGCUGGCGCGCUUCUCCGCGACACCAGCCGGGCAGGAAACCUACCCCGUGGAGGCAGUCAGCUGCGUCCUGGCUUGCCGAGGCCACCGCCUCUAUAGCUCAGGCUGGCAGGUCUCGUUGGUGGCGCCUUCGCAGAACCCCGCCGGGCCGGGAGUAGCGGAAGGCUCGCCUCCUCCCGCAUUCGCUCCGGCGCAGGGCUCCCCUAGCUCUGCCAGGCCACGUGACCUGCGAGCUGCGGAGCAACUGCAGCCCCCAAAGCUGGAUUGGGGGUGGGAGUUGCGGGGGAGGCAAAAGGCGCCAACUGAUGGGCAGCGAGGGAAAAGCAGGGUCGCUCCCAAGUCAGGAGAACAGGAAGACUGACCC
This 387-nucleotide long non-coding RNA is filed under the name Rattus norvegicus (Norway rat). RNAcentral describes it as "long non-coding RNA NONRATT022269". The record is from RNAcentral. Lineage: Eukaryota; Metazoa; Chordata; Mammalia; Rodentia; Muridae.